Molecule: ribosomal RNA, 468 nt
Filed under: uncultured bacterium
Lineage: Bacteria
Description: partial 16S ribosomal RNA
Rfam family: Bacterial small subunit ribosomal RNA
Source: RNAcentral
GACGAACGCUGGCGGCGUGCUUAACACAUGCAAGUCGAACGGAAAGGCCCUGCUUUUGUGGGGUUCUCGAGUGGCGAACGGGUGAGUAACACGUGAGUAACCUGCCCUUGACUUUGGGAUAACUUCAGGAAACUGGGGCUAAUACCGGAUAGGAGCUCCUGCUGCAUGGUGGGGGUUGGAAAGUUUCGGCGGUUGGGGAUGGACUCGCGGCUUAUCAGCUUGUUGGUGGGGUAGUGGCUUACCAAGGCUUUGACGGGUAGCCGGCCUGAGAGGGUGACCGGCCACAUUGGGACUGAGAUACGGCCCAGACUCCUACGGGAGGCAGCAGUGGGGAAUAUUGCACAAUGGGCGGAAGCCUGAUGCAGCAACGCCGCGUGCGGGAUGAAGGCCUUCGGGUUGUAAACCGCUUUCGCCUGUGACGAAGCGUGAGUGACGGUAAUGGGUAAAGAAGCACCGGCUAACUACGUG